Molecule: transfer RNA, 72 nt
Filed under: Bos taurus (domestic cattle)
Lineage: Eukaryota; Metazoa; Chordata; Mammalia; Artiodactyla; Bovidae
Also listed under: 5 other names
Rfam family: tRNA
About the family: Transfer RNA (tRNA) molecules are approximately 80 nucleotides in length.
Source: Rfam by way of RNAcentral
UCCCUGGUGGCUCAGACGGUAAAGAAUCUGCCUGCAAUGCAGGAGACCCAGGUUCCAUCCCUGGGUUGGGAA